GCAAGCGUUAUCCGGGUUCACUGGGGUUAAAGGGUGUGUAGGUGGCUUGGUAAGUCAGUGGUGAAAUCUCCGGGCUUAACCCGGAAACUGCCAUUGAUACUAUCAGUCUUGAAUACCGUGGAGGUCAGUAGAAUAUGUCAUGUAGCGGUGAAAUGCUUAGAUAUGACAUAGAAUACCAAUUGCGAAGGCAGCUGGCUACACGAAUAUUGACACUCAGGCACGAAAGCGUGGGGAUCAAACAGG
Molecule: ribosomal RNA, 243 nt
Filed under: uncultured bacterium
Lineage: Bacteria
Description: partial 16S ribosomal RNA
Rfam family: Bacterial small subunit ribosomal RNA
Source: RNAcentral